UACGAAGGGGGCUAGCGUUGCUCGGAAUCACUGGGCGUAAAGCGCACGUAGGCGGAUCUUUAAGUCAGAGGUGAAAUCCCAAGGCUCAACCUUGGAACUGCCUUUGAUACUGGGGAUCUCUAGUCCGGAAGAGGUUGGUGGAACUCCGAGUGUAGAGGUGAAAUUCGUAGAUAUUCGGAAGAACACCAGUGGCGAAGGCGGCCAACUGGUCCGGUACUGACGCUGAGGUGCGAAAGCGUGGGGAGCAAACAGG
RNAcentral lists this ribosomal RNA (253 nucleotides) under uncultured bacterium. RNAcentral describes it as "partial 16S ribosomal RNA". It matches the Rfam family "Bacterial small subunit ribosomal RNA", at positions 524 to 776 of the family's 1533-position model. The record is from RNAcentral.